This 343-nucleotide long non-coding RNA is filed under the name Bos taurus (domestic cattle). RNAcentral's name for it is "long non-coding RNA NONBTAT024771". The record is from RNAcentral. Lineage: Eukaryota; Metazoa; Chordata; Mammalia; Artiodactyla; Bovidae.
GGACUAGAUAGCACAUCUCACUGUCAUCUAUUAAUCAGUUGAUCUAGUGAACACAAAUUCUUUAGGUUCCUUCAUGUCACUCCAUCUUCUUUUUGCAUUUCUGUAUUUUCCUCCUUGUUAAAAGUUCUCUAUCUUCCAUGGGUUUUGAUUUCUGCUGUCCUAUGAGGGUGAGGAUAGGAAAUGGGGAGAACUUGACUUUCACUAGGAACCUUGAAACAUCCUUACAGUGACAACUGGGUGUGUGGGUAGAGAGAGAAUAGAGUACACUGCUUGUCCUUGAUGAAUUAAGGCUUAGAACUGUAAACCCUUAUGGGGUUUGAAUAAAGUGUUUUCUGGCUAAGGC